This 1301-nucleotide ribosomal RNA is filed under the name metagenome. RNAcentral describes it as "bacterial SSU rRNA". It matches the Rfam family "Bacterial small subunit ribosomal RNA", at positions 186 to 1498 of the family's 1533-position model. The record is from RNAcentral.
AAGCAUUUAUCAAAGUUAAAAACUCCGGUGGUAUAAGAUGGGCAUGCGUGACAUUAGCUAGAUGGUGAGGUAACGGCUUACCAUGGCACUGGUGUCUAGGGGUUCUGAGAGGAUGAUCCCCCACACUGGUACUGAGACACGGACCAGACUCCUACGGGUGGCAGCAGUGAGGAAUAUUGGGCAAUGGAGGCAACUCUGACCCAGCCAUGCCGCGUGUAGGAUGACUGCCUUAUGGGUUGUAAACUACUUUUAUAUAGGACGAACCCUGUUACUUGUAACAGAUUGACGGUACUAUAUGAAUAAGGAUCGGCUAACUCCGUGCCAGCAGCCGCGGUAAUACGGAGGAUCCAAGCGUUAUCCGGAUUUAUUGGGUUUAAAGGGUGCGUAGGCGGUUUAUUUAGUCAGUGGUGAAAUCUUUCGGCUCAACCGAGAAAUUGCCAUUGAUACUGGUAGACUUGAGUAUACGUGACGUGGGCGGAAUUUGACAAGUAGCGGUGAAAUGCAUAGAUAUGUCAAGGAACUCCAAUUGCGAAGGCAGCUCACGAAAGUAUAACUGACGCUGAUGCACGAAAGCGUGGGUAGCGAACAGGAUUAGAUACCCUGGUAGUCCACGCCGUAAACGAUGAUCACUGGUUGUUUGCCGGAACAGGUAAGCGACUGAGCGAAAGUAUUAAGUGAUCCACCUGGGGAGUACGUUGGCAACAAUGAAACUCAAAGGAAUUGACGGGGGCCCGCACAAGCGGAGGAACAUGUGGUUUAAUUCGAUGAUACGCGAGGAACCUUACCCGGGCUUAAAUGUAGAUUGCAUGAUUUAGAGAUAGAUCUUUCCUUCACGGGACCAUCUACAAGGUGCUGCAUGGUUGUCGUCAGCUCGUGCCGUGAGGUGUCGGGUUAAGUCCCAUAACGAGCGCAACCCCUGUCGUUAGUUGCCAUCAGAUAAUGCUGGGCACUCUAGCGAGACUGCCGCCGCAAGGCGAGAGGAAGGUGGGGAUGACGUCAAAUCAGCACGGCCCUUACGUCCGGGGCUACACACGUGUUACAAUGGUAGGUACAGAGGGCAGCUACACUGCGAAGUGAUGCCAAUCUCGAAAGCCUAUCUCAGUUCGGAUCGUAGUCUGUAACCCGACUACGUGAAGCUGGAUUCGCUAGUAAUCGCAUAUCAGCCAUGAUGCGGUGAAUACGUUCCCGGGCCUUGUACACACCGCCCGUCAAACCAUGGAAGUCGGGGGUACCUGAAGUCUGUUACCGCAAGGAACGGCCUAGGGUAAAUCUGAUAACUGGGGUUAAGUCGUAACAAGGUA